GACCGGCGAGAGCAGAGUUUUGCAUGCGGACAAUGCAGACAUUCUGAGCACCACCAGCAGACCCCUGGCAGGUCAUACCCUGGGGCAUGGCAACCUUGACGGGGAAAUCAGUAGUAGCAGCAGACAGACCACCAAUACCAAUUCCGGGAACGUUCUGCAUGACCUGAGCGUCUUGGAAUGCGUUGGGGUCAGUUCCUCCGGAGGUGGCAUCGAUCUGUGCGGUGAGUGGGCCAGCACCGUCCUGGUUGACCUGGUGGAAGGUCAUGGUGAUGG
This 273-nucleotide unclassified non-coding RNA is filed under the name Hevea brasiliensis (rubber tree). The record is from RNAcentral. Lineage: Eukaryota; Viridiplantae; Streptophyta; Magnoliopsida; Malpighiales; Euphorbiaceae.